This 460-nucleotide ribosomal RNA is filed under the name uncultured bacterium. RNAcentral's name for it is "partial 16S ribosomal RNA". It matches the Rfam family "Bacterial small subunit ribosomal RNA", at positions 338 to 795 of the family's 1533-position model. The record is from RNAcentral.
CCUACGGGUGGCAGCAGUGAGGAAUAUUGGUCAAUGGACGCAAGUCUGAACCAGCCAUGCCGCGUGCAGGAAGACGGCUCUAUGAGUUGUAAACUGCUUUUGUACGAGGGUAAACGCAGAUACGCGUAUCUGUCUGAAAGUAUCGUACGAAUAAGGAUCGGCUAACUCCGGGCCAGCAGCCGCGGUAAUACGGAGGAUUCAGGCGUUAUCCGGAUUUAUUGGGUUUAAAGGGUGCGUAGGCGGUCGGAUAAGUUAGAGGUGAAAGCCCGAGGCUCAACUUCGGAAUUGCCGCUGAUACUGUUCGGCUAGAGAGUAGUUGCGGUAGGCGGAAUGUAUGGUGUAGCGGUGAAAUGCUUAGAGAUCAUACAGAACACCGAUUGCGAAGGCAGCUUACCAAGCUACUUCUGACGUUGAGGCACGAAAGCGUGGGGAGCAAACAGGAUUAGAUACCCUAGUAGUC